This 279-nucleotide ribosomal RNA is filed under the name uncultured bacterium. Its description in RNAcentral is "partial 16S ribosomal RNA". It matches the Rfam family "Bacterial small subunit ribosomal RNA", at positions 506 to 784 of the family's 1533-position model. The record is from RNAcentral.
UGCCAGCCGCCGCGGUAAUACGGAGGGAGCGAGCGUUAAUCGGAAUUACUGGGCGUAAAGCGCGCGUAGGCGGCUUUGUAAGUCGGAUGUGAAAGCCCAGGGCUCAACCCUGGAAUUGCAUUCGAUACUGCAUGGCUAGAGUAUGGUAGAGGGAAGUGGAAUUUCCGGUGUAGCGGUGAAAUGCGUAGAUAUCGGCAGGAACACCAAAUGCGAAGGCAACUUACUAGUACACUUCUGACGCUGAUGAACGAAAGCGUGGGUAGCGAAUGGGAUUAGAUA